Molecule: non-coding RNA, 83 nt
Filed under: human gut metagenome
Also listed under: 1 other name
Description: Glycine riboswitch
Rfam family: Glycine riboswitch aptamer
About the family: This family represents the bacterial glycine riboswitch.
Source: RNAcentral
GCACUCUGGAGAAUCCCAUUCAGUUGGGUGCCGAAGGUGCAAGGCGUUUCACGCCGAAUCUCUCAGGCAAAAGGACGGAGCAG